RNAcentral lists this ribosomal RNA (1210 nucleotides) under metagenome. RNAcentral describes it as "bacterial SSU rRNA". It matches the Rfam family "Bacterial small subunit ribosomal RNA", at positions 8 to 1252 of the family's 1533-position model. The record is from RNAcentral.
AGAGUUUGAUCCCGGCUCAGAAUCAACGCUGGCGGCGCGCUUAACACAUGCAAGUCGAACGAGAAAGGGGAGCAAUCCCUGAGUAAAGUGGCGUACGGGUGAGUAACACGUGGAUUAUCUACCUUUUAUGGGGAAUACCGUUGGGAAACCGACGACAAUACCGCAUAAUCCCGAGAGGGGAAAGCAGCAAUGCGCUGAAAGAGGAGUCCGCGGUCGAUUAGCUAGUUGGUAGGGUAAAAGCCUACCAAGGCUGUGAUCGAUAGCCGGCCUGAGAGGGCACACGGCCACACUGGCACUGAAACACGGGCCAGACUCCUACGGGAGGCAGCAGUGGGGAAUCUUGCACAAUGGGGGAAACCCUGAUGCAGCGACGCCGCGUGAGCGAUGAAGCCCUUCGGGGUGUAAAGCUCUUUCGGCAGGGACGAUAAUGACGGUACCUGCAGAAGCAGCUGCGGCUAACUACGUGCCAGCAGCCGCGGUAAUACGUAGGCAGCAAGCGUUGUUCGGAGUUACUGGGCGUAAAGGGUGCGUAGGCGGUCCUAUAAGUAUGGUGUGAAAUCUCCCGGCUUAACUGGGAGGGUGCGCUAUAGACUGUGGGACUAGAGUGUGGGAGAGGAAAGUGGAAUUCCUGGUGUAGCGGUGAAAUGCGUAGAUAUCAGGAGGAACACCGGCGGUGUAAACGGCUUUCUGGACCAUAACUGACGCUGAGGCACGAAAGCGUGGGUAGCAAACAGGAUUAGAUACCCUGGUAGUCCACGCCCUAAACGAUGCAUAUUUGGUGUGGGUCAUUCAGUUGAUCCGUGCCGGAGCUAACGCGUUAAAUAUGCCGCCUGGGGAGUACAGUCGCAAGGCUGAAACUCAAAGGAAUUGACGGGGGCCCGCACAAGCGGUGGAGCAUGUGGUUUAAUUCGACGCAACGCGAAGAACCUUACCUGGGCUCGAAAUGCUAUGGACCAGCUGGUGAAAGCCGGCCUUCCCGCAAGGGACCGUAGUAUAGGUGCUGCAUGGCUGUCGUCAGCUCGUGUCGUGAGAUGUUGGGUUAAGUCCCGCAACGAGCGCAACCCUUGUCCUGUGUUGCCAUACCGAAAGGUGGAACUCGCAGGAGACCGCCAGGGAUAACCUGGAGGAAGGUGGGGAUGACGUCAAGUCCUCAUGGCCUUUAUGUCCAGGGCUACACACGUGCUACAAUGGACGGUACAAAGGGCUGCCA